RNAcentral lists this non-coding RNA (25 nucleotides) under Mus musculus (house mouse). The record is from RNAcentral. Lineage: Eukaryota; Metazoa; Chordata; Mammalia; Rodentia; Muridae.
UAUGACAGGUUAUUUCCCAAAGUGC